UAAAAAUGAAAAAUGCAAUUAAACCCUCCAAAACACCAUGAUUGGCGCGCCAAAAUUUCCAACCCUCAUACUUUCUCCAUUGCCCUCAAUCCCUCUCUCUCUCUCUCUCUCUCUCUCUCUCUCUCCAAUGGCCGAUAUUGACCCUCCAUCCUUCUCUCUCGGCCUGGACCUCGAUGCCGAACCGGAACCUGAAAUACCCACUCGAAUCCAUGAACUGUCCGUUCUCAAUCCAGCUCCAGGUCCGAGUUCCUGUACCGUAUCGGAGGACGAUGAUGAUCGAGUUUUCCAACCCCGAGUCGCAAAUUCCGAAAAAGAUGGUUCUGGGCUUCAGGUUAUGGAUUCGGAUCCCGAAAGUGGGCCAGAUUCGCCCCGGAUAUUCAAGCGGCUGAGACGAGGACCCGCUAUCGAGGAACCAAGAUUGAAGAGGAAAGAAA
RNAcentral lists this unclassified non-coding RNA (434 nucleotides) under Hevea brasiliensis (rubber tree). Lineage: Eukaryota; Viridiplantae; Streptophyta; Magnoliopsida; Malpighiales; Euphorbiaceae. The record is from RNAcentral.